RNAcentral lists this non-coding RNA (29 nucleotides) under Homo sapiens (human). Lineage: Eukaryota; Metazoa; Chordata; Mammalia; Primates; Hominidae. The record is from RNAcentral.
UGGAAGUUAAUAAGCUGAAGGUGGUCACA